This 466-nucleotide ribosomal RNA is filed under the name uncultured bacterium. RNAcentral describes it as "partial 16S ribosomal RNA". It matches the Rfam family "Bacterial small subunit ribosomal RNA", at positions 28 to 507 of the family's 1533-position model. The record is from RNAcentral.
GACGAACGCUGGCGGCGUGCUUAACACAUGCAAGUCGAACGGUAAGGCUCCAGCUUGCUGGGGUACACGAGUGGCGAACGGGUGAGUAACACGUGGGUGACCUGCCCUGCACUUCGGGAUAAGCCUGGGAAACUGGGUCUAAUACCGGAUAGGACCAUGGUGUGGAUACUGUGGUGGAAAGUUUUUUCGGUGUGGGAUGGGCCCGCGGCCUAUCAGCUUGUUGGUGGGGUAAUGGCCUACCAAGGCGGCGACGGGUAGCCGGCCUGAGAGGGUGGACGGCCACAUUGGGACUGAGACACGGCCCAGACUCCUACGGGAGGCAGCAGUGGGGAAUAUUGCACAAUGGGCGGAAGCCUGAUGCAGCGACGCCGCGUGGGGGAUGACGGCCUUCGGGUUGUAAACUCCUUUCACCAUAGACGAAGGGUUUCUGACGGUAGAUGGAGAAGAAGCACCGGCUAACUACGUG